Molecule: ribosomal RNA, 462 nt
Filed under: Diaporthe schoeni
Lineage: Eukaryota; Fungi; Ascomycota; Sordariomycetes; Diaporthales; Diaporthaceae
Description: eukaryotic LSU rRNA
Rfam family: 5.8S ribosomal RNA (bases 148-301)
Source: RNAcentral
CUUUGUGAACUUAUACCCAUACUGUUGCCUCGGCGCAGGCCGGCCUUUUUCGACAAAGGCCCCCUGGAGACAGGGAGCAGUCCGCCGGCGGCCAACCAAACUCUGUUUCUAUAGUGAAUCUCUGAGUAAAAAACAUAAAUGAAUCAAAACUUUCAACAACGGAUCUCUUGGUUCUGGCAUCGAUGAAGAACGCAGCGAAAUGCGAUAAGUAAUGUGAAUUGCAGAAUUCAGUGAAUCAUCGAAUCUUUGAACGCACAUUGCGCCCUCUGGUAUUCCGGAGGGCAUGCCUGUUCGAGCGUCAUUUCAACCCUCAAGCCUGGCUUGGUGAUGGGGCACUGCCUGUGAAAGGGCAGGCCCUGAAAUCUAGUGGCGAGCUCGCCAGGACCCCGAGCGUAGUAGUUACAUCUCGCUCUGGAAGGCCCUGGCGGUGCCCUGCCGUUAAACCCCCAACUUCUGAAAAUU